GGAGAGAUGGCUGAGGGGCCGAUAGCGGCAGAUUGCUAAUCUGUUAAGGUAAUUUUUUGCCUUCACGAGUUCGAAUCUCGUUCUCUCCG
Molecule: transfer RNA, 89 nt
Filed under: Planctomycetota bacterium
Lineage: Bacteria; Pseudomonadati; Planctomycetota
Description: Planctomycetes bacterium (wastewater metagenome) tRNA-Ser
Rfam family: tRNA
About the family: Transfer RNA (tRNA) molecules are approximately 80 nucleotides in length. Their secondary structure includes four short double-helical elements and three loops (D, anti-codon, and T loops).
Source: RNAcentral